ACCCGCUGAACUUAAGCAUAUCAAUAAGCGGAGGAAAAGAAACCAACAGGGAUUGCCUCAGUAACGGCGAGUGAAGCGGCAACAGCUCAAAUUUGAAAUCUGGCCCCCUUGCGGGGUCCGAGUUGUAAUUUGAAGAGGAUGCUUCUGGCAAGGUGCCUUCCGAGUUCCCUGGAACGGGACGCCGCAGAGGGUGAGAGCCCCGUACGGUUGGACGCCGAGCCUCUGUGAAGCUCCUUCGACGAGUCGAGUAGUUUGGGAAUGCUGCUCAAAAUGGGAGGUAAACCCCUUCUAAAGCUAAAUACUGGCCAGAGACCGAUAGCGCACAAGUAGAGUGAUCGAAAGAUGAAAAGCACUUUGAAAAGAGAGUUAAAAAGCACGUGAAAUUGUUGAAAGGGAAGCGCUUGCGACCAGACUCGCGCCCGUCGGAUCAGCCGUCGCUCGCGGCGGUGCACUCCGGCGGGCUCGGGCCAGCAUCAGUUCGUUGGGGGGGAGAAAGGCGGCGGGAAUGUGGCUCCACGGAGUGUUAUAGCCCGUCGUGUAAUACCCCCUGGCGGACUGAGGACCGCGCGUAUGCAAGGAUGCUGGCGUAAUGGUCGUCAGCGACCCGUCUUGAAACACGGACCAAGGAGUCGUCCUAAUAUGCGAGUGUACGGGUGUCAAACCCCUGCGCGUAAUGAAAGUGAACGGAGGUGAGAGCUUCGGCGCAUCAUCGACCGAUCCUGAUGUUCUCGGAUGGAUUUGAGUAAGAGCAUAUUGGGCCGGACCCGAAAGAAGGUGAACUAUGCCUGUGUAGGGUAAAGCCAGAGGAAACUCUGGUGGAGGCUCGCAGCGGUUCUGACGUGCAAAUCGAUCGUCAAACAUGGGCAUGGGGGCGAAAGACUAAUCGAACCUUCUAGUAGCUGGUUUCCGCCGAAGUUYCCCCYUCAGGA
This 929-nucleotide small RNA is filed under the name Scopulariopsis sp. BMU07493. RNAcentral's name for it is "eukaryotic LSU rRNA". It matches the Rfam family "Eukaryotic large subunit ribosomal RNA", at positions 23 to 978 of the family's 3401-position model. Lineage: Eukaryota; Fungi; Ascomycota; Sordariomycetes; Microascales; Microascaceae. The record is from RNAcentral.